Molecule: long non-coding RNA, 202 nt
Filed under: Elaeis guineensis (African oil palm)
Lineage: Eukaryota; Viridiplantae; Streptophyta; Magnoliopsida; Arecales; Arecaceae
Description: long non-coding RNA (EGUI_LNC065722)
Source: RNAcentral
GAUAUCAUAAUUAGGCUAGGACCUAAUUAAUUAGUUUGUUAUAACUAAUUCUUAAGUGAGUUAGGAUUGAAUCCAAGAAUUAGUUAGAGUUGGAACAAAAUUCAUGAGUCCUAUUUGGAAUAGGGCUAAACCAAUUCCUAAACCUAAUCUAUUUAAUGAUUCCUCACACCCCAACUCUCUUCACGUUGAGAUCUCACACCCC